UACGUAGGUGGCAAGCGUUGUCCGGAAUUAUUGGGCGUAAAGCGCGCGCAGGUGGUUUCUUAAGUCUGAUGUGAAAGCCCACGGCUCAACCGUGGAGGGUCAUUGGAAACUGGGGAACUUGAGUGCAGGAGAGAAGAGUGGAAUUCCACGUGUAGCGGUGAAAUGCGUAGAGAUGUGGAGGAACACCAGUGGCGAAGGCGACUCUGUGGCCUGUAACUGACACUGAGGCGCGAAAGCGUGGGGGGCGAACAGG
This 253-nucleotide ribosomal RNA is filed under the name uncultured bacterium. Its description in RNAcentral is "partial 16S ribosomal RNA". It matches the Rfam family "Bacterial small subunit ribosomal RNA", at positions 524 to 776 of the family's 1533-position model. The record is from RNAcentral.